Molecule: ribosomal RNA, 272 nt
Filed under: uncultured bacterium
Lineage: Bacteria
Description: partial 16S ribosomal RNA
Rfam family: Bacterial small subunit ribosomal RNA
Source: RNAcentral
UACGUAGGGGGCAAGCGUUGUCCGGAAUUAUUGGGCGUAAAGGGCGCGCAGGCGGUCUUUUAAGUCUUGUGUUUAAACCCGGGGCUCAACCUCGGGACGCACGGGAAACUGGGAGGCUUGAGUGCAGGAGAGGAAAGUGGAAUUCCACGUGUAGCGGUGAAAUGCGUAGAGAUGUGGAGGAACACCAGUGGCGAAGGCGACUUUCUGGCCUGCAACUGACGCUGAGGCGCGAAAGCGUGGGGAGCGAACAGGAUUAGAUACCCCCGUAGUCC